GACGAACGCUGGCGGCGUGCUUAACACAUGCAAGUCGAACGGAAAGGCCCUGCUUUUGUGGGGUGCUCGAGUGGCGAACGGGUGAGUAACACGUGAGUAACCUGCCCUUGACUUUGGGAUAACUUCAGGAAACUGGGGCUAAUACCGGAUAGGAGCUCCUGCUGCAUGGUGGGGGUUGGAAAGUUUCGGCGGUUGGGGAUGGACUCGCGGCUUAUCAGCUUGUUGGUGGGGUAGUGGCUUACCAAGGCUUUGACGGGUAGCCGGCCUGAGAGGGUGACCGGCCACAUUGGGACUGAGGUACGGCCCAGAGUCCAACGGGAGGCAGCAGUGGGGAAUAUUGCACAAUGGGCGGAAGCCUGAUGCAGCAACGCCGCGUGCGGGAUGACGGCCUUCGGGUUGUAAACCGCUUUCGCCUGUGACGAAGCGUGAGUGACGGUAAUGGGUAAAGAAGCACCGGCUAACUACGUG
This 468-nucleotide ribosomal RNA is filed under the name uncultured bacterium. RNAcentral describes it as "partial 16S ribosomal RNA". It matches the Rfam family "Bacterial small subunit ribosomal RNA", at positions 28 to 507 of the family's 1533-position model. The record is from RNAcentral.